Molecule: long non-coding RNA, 1422 nt
Filed under: Homo sapiens (human)
Lineage: Eukaryota; Metazoa; Chordata; Mammalia; Primates; Hominidae
Description: non-protein coding lnc-CDH5-8:2
Source: RNAcentral
GAAUAAAGAAACUAUAAUUCAAAACUAAAAAAUAAUUGAAAUUGAUUUAAAAAAGGGAGAAGGAGAGUCUCCAAAAGCAACUGAGAAGGAAUAGAAAGAUCUUUAGGAAGAGAUCAAGGGGAGAAGUACGCCAAAUCUGGACUUACUGAGAAGGAUCAGUAAGUUUAUAGGGAGUAGAGCAUUCUUUAGUUGCAACUAAUAUUUAGCUUUAAAUUCAUGGUGAUGAUGUUGUUGUGAAAAAAAAAUCAUUCAUAUUUGGAAAAUCCAAUUCAAUGAGCUUUAUAGAGCAUAUCCUUAGCUUGUACCAAGGUCUGAGACAUACAGACACUAAUAGGCACAAUCUCAGUCUAAUAAUUUUCUAGUUUAGCCAGGAAGAUAUGUUAGCAUUGAAACAACUAAGUUAGAGUGAGAAUGAGAUAGUCCCUAGGAUAAGUGUGCAAUCAGACAAGGGAGGGGAAAAUCCCCACUGGAAACUAAGAGGAAAUGCUUUUGGAUGCAAAUAAAGAGCAUCUUGAAGAAUGACCACAAUUUCAGUGGUCAGUUGAAAUGGAAAGCACAAAACUCUUCCAAUUCCUGAGGUGCCUGGAUGUAUGUAGAUUUGGGUUGCAGACUAAUGACAAAUCCAGCAAGGUCUUAAAUACUUCCAAGGAAUUUUGUCAGAAAUUAAAAGGAAAAUGAUGGAUAAUCUAAGAGUUGAGAAAAAAUGAAACCUAAAAAUUAUUGCAAUAAUAUUUGCUGAUAUAACUUCUGCCUGGUCAUGGCAAGCAUGACUGCAAAUGUUCAAGAUUCAGAGUCAGAGGGGAAAUAAGAACUAAGACAAUACUGAAUGUUUCAGUGGAUAUUUAGAAUCUCUUUAAUUAGAUGAAUGUCAUUGUGCAGGUGGUCUACUGGAAGAAGGGAAAUAAAAGUUUGUUAAUACAGACAUCUGUGAGGAACACUGACUGUUCUUUGAGGGAGUAACCUGGAAAAUUUGAAAAUGAAACCCCUCCCAGUAGCCUGGUCUCGGCUCUAUGAAGACUGAUUUACCAACAUGUACAGUGGACCUCUGAGGAAAGAAGCAGCCAUUUCAGAGCCCUUAAUGUGAAUGCAUAGGCUGUGAUUAUUAGGAAGUGUUAAAAGCACUGGCUGGCAGCUUAGAUAAACAAGAAUUUGAACCAUCACAAAUAACCAGGGGGAAGUGGCAUUUGUUAGUAUUCUGGAAGAUGUUAAAUCCAUAGCAAAUGAAAGUCUUAGCAUUGACUGUUUCAGGCAACUUAGCCGUAACCUCAAUGCUAAAAAACAGAACACAUAGAGGAGCGUUACCAAUAUUUAUCAAGCUUCCCCUUUAUGUCUGACAUUUUCAAGUGGAUUGACUCAUUUUAUCAUAUGAAGUAGUUGUAUUAAAGCAUUCUUCAGCCCCACCCCGCAAAAAAAAAAAAAAAA